UGAUGUAGAGCCAACAUGCCACCCCUUAAAGGUGGGUACCCGAGUUCGAGUCUCGGGUGGCG
This 62-nucleotide transfer RNA is filed under the name Colletotrichum liriopes. RNAcentral's name for it is "tRNA suppresor". Lineage: Eukaryota; Fungi; Ascomycota; Sordariomycetes; Glomerellales; Glomerellaceae. The record is from RNAcentral.